Molecule: long non-coding RNA, 840 nt
Organism: Amphibalanus amphitrite
Lineage: Eukaryota; Metazoa; Arthropoda; Thecostraca; Balanomorpha; Balanidae
Exons: 3
Source: RefSeq, a predicted model, not a curated record
UAAUGUUGCCUUAGAAUUGCGGACCCGAAUUAGUACCCGGGAAUUCGGUCGACAGCUCCCGUCAGCCCCUUAGCUCUCCGUAUAAGGGAAUAACCGGCGAAAGGGGUAGCCCCGUUGUUCCCAGAGUCGAGCAGCACCCCUCCAUUAGAGGUGCAAAUCGUCGGCGGCCGUUCUGUUAGAUUAAGCACCAUUCUGCGCGGGGCUACGAUUCUUUCCUGACGGUUAACUCAAUUUGGUCACGCGUGUAGGUCCGAUCAGUACCCUAGAAACCUAUGUAACCUGCCGUCCUCACCCAGUUAUCCACACCCGGGGUAUGGCUCCGACGGUGUUGCAUCUCAAGUCAUUAGGCUCCGCGAAUCACCGCGCGGCGCCCCAGGCGGUAUUUAAAGGCUCCGGCACGCCCGCGGCAUAUUGUCAUCAUGUCUACCACGUCUGUGGAGGUUGUUUCGGAGGCAAGUCGGCCCGAGAGCCCGCCGGGGUCCGCGGCCGAGGUGCCCCGGGAAUUGUACAACGAGAUCGUCCGCUUAAAGGACGACCUCCACGCGGCUGAGGGAAAGUUGGAGGUCGCCCGCCGGGACCUGGAGCGGGCCCACCGAAAGAACAAAGCCGUAGUCGCGAGGCUGCGGAAAAUAAUCUAUGCCACCCAGACCGCACCGAGCUACGCCCGGCCGGGGUGGCUCGACCAAGAAAUAGAGUGGGCCUUAUUGGAGCUCUCUUGAGCCCUCAGAUGCAACGACGCAGGACACCUCCGAAUUCAUCUCGCCGUCGCGAUGAAUGGUGGUUUUGUAGUGUGUGAACAAAUUCUGGCUCGCUGUCUGUAAAUACAUGUGCCAUUUUGUA